This 423-nucleotide ribosomal RNA is filed under the name uncultured archaeon. Its description in RNAcentral is "partial 16S ribosomal RNA". It matches the Rfam family "Archaeal small subunit ribosomal RNA", at positions 323 to 746 of the family's 1478-position model. The record is from RNAcentral.
CUACGGGUUGCACCAGUUAGGGAACUUUUACAAUGCACGAAAGUGUGAUAAAGCGAGCCAGAGUGUUUAUCAUUUUAUGAUAAACUUUUGUCUACUGUAAAAGGCAGACGAAUAAGGACUGGGAGAGACCGGUGCCAGCCGCCGCGGUAAUACCGGCGGUCCGAGUCGCAGCCAUGAUUAUUGGGUCUAAAACAUCCGUAGCUUGUUUGAUAAGUUUCUUGUGAAAUCCCAUCUCUCAAGGGUGGGGCGUGCAAGAAAUACUGUCAGGCUAGAGACCGGAAGAAGUAAAAAGUACAGUUAAGGUAGUGGUAAAAUACGUUAAUCUUGAUUGGACUAACAAUAGCGAAGGCAUUUUACUAGUACGGAUCUGACAGUGAGGGAUGAAGGCUAGGGUCGCAAAACGGAUUAGAUACCCCUGUAGUC